AGCGGGCGCAGACUCAGAGACCUCGCUUACUCCCUGGCUCCGCCCUGCUCACCCUUAGGAGGCGGGGCGAAGGCCGGGCUGGCAGAAGAGGCGGGGUGGGGGCGCCGCUGUGGCCUGACUUGAGCGGUUUUAGACAAGAUGCAGGACCCCAAUGCAGACACUGAGUGGAAUGACAUCUUACGCAAAAAGGGUAUCUUGCCCUCAAAGGAAAGUGUGAAAGAUUUGGAAAAGGAGGCAGAAGAAGAAGAACAGCGAGUCCUUCAGCAGUCAAUUGUGAAAACAUACGAAGAUAUGACUUUGGAAGAGCUGGAGGAUAAUGAAGAUGAAUUUAAUGAAGAAGAUGAACGUGCUGUUGAAAUGUACAGGCAGCAAAGACUGGCUGAGUGGAAAGCAACUCAACUGAAGAAUAAAUUUGGAGAAGUUUUGGAGAUCUCAGGAAAGGAUUAUGUUCAAGAAGUUACCAAAGCCGGUGAGGGCUUGUGGGUAAUCUUGCACCUUUACAAACAAGGGAUUCCCCUCUGUGCCCUCAUAAAUCAGCACUUCAGUGGACUUGCCAGGAAGUUUCCUGAUGUCAAAUUUAUCAAAGCCAUUUCAACAACCUGCAUACCCAAUUAUCCUGAUAGGAAUCUGCCUACAGUAUUUGUUUACCUUGAAGGAGAUAUCAAGGCUCAAUUUAUUGGACCUCUGGUGUUUGGUGGCAUGAACCUGACAAUAGAGGAGUUGGAGUGGAAACUGUCAGAGUCUGGAGCAAUCAAGACAGACUUGGAGGAAAACCCUAAGAAACCAGUUGAAGAUGCUUUGCUAUCCUCAAUGAGGUGCUCCAUCCCCACAAGAAGGGGUAGCGAUUCUGAGGAUGACUAAGACUAUGGCCUUGGGUGUUUGGCAGUUGCUGUGAUAAAAGCAGGUAUAGCUCAAAAAUCAACAAGGAGCAGGGAAUGAGGGUGACAGAGUCUGAUCAAAUUUCAAGGUUGGACAAAGCCCAGAGCCCAACAGGCACUCACAUCGCAUUAAUAAGAAAUAAACAUUCCUCAAUACUUUGGCAUCCUGAUAAAUUCACUCAUUUGAGACUGAUUGCUGGGUCCUAACACUUGGAAUUAUAAAUGACCCAGAAACUCUUAAGCAACCAUGUGUUGAGUGUCUGCUGCACGCCAGGCACCAUUCUGGGUAUUGGAAAUCAUGCCCUCACUGAGCUCCUGGGCCUGGUUGGCAAGGAAACCCCAGUAGAUGCUGAGACAGGGCCAAAAACCCUGUGAAGACACACAGGACAGACACCUGAUUAUGCUUGAGUAAUGUGACUGGCUUCUGAGAGAGGUGGCUUUGCAAAUGAGUCUUGAAGGAUAAGGACAGUGAACUUAUUCAUGCUCUUUGAACUUCAAGCUGGAAAAAUCAAAGUCAGAAUCCAUAAGUUUCCCAGGAGCUCCUGACCUACUUUUGGGGAAACCAAUUCCUGUUGGAACUACAAACAAGGGAACCGCUUCCAAAGAUUUCACAGUGUGCUGUCAGAAGCAUACUGGAAGCUGGGCACUCUGGGGGCCCCUCUGAAAAUCAAUGCAUGAGCGGUCAUGUCCAGUCCUGCUAUUUGCUGGGUUUUACUUGCACAAUGUCCAUUCCAACAUUGGAGACCUCCUGUGGGACCUGUCAGGUCUCUCUUCUCCCAGCCCUGCUCCCACACCUCUCCAUGACCUGCACCUACAGCGCAGCCCUUAGCUCUUUCAACCUGAGUCCGGGGACACUGGAGGAGCUCCUCAUAUGGAAAUGGGAUUCAGUGUCUGAUUCCUCUUGCUCUUCUCUUGGAGCUCAGUCCUAACAACUGGGCUCCUGCCUUUCUCCUCUUAAGUUCCCACCUUACAGCCAAGUGGAUAACUGGGUCUUUGUGCUUGAAUCCCUGCCUGGACAAUCUCUGUUCGCUCAGACUUUCCUGGCCCUACCCUUGCCUAUGCCUCCUGUUUCAGGCCCCAGGAACUGGAGGCCCACUCCUGUACCUCUGCAUUUGGGGCCUUGCCUUUCACCCCAGGAACACACUGAGGUUCUGACACAGUCUAUUCUUGGAUGCCUGUUGGGGUAUAUCUUUAUUCUUACAGCUCCUUCCUAUGUUCCAAGGCCAAAGCCAGCAACCUGACCCCCUUCCUGCAUAUUAUACCAUUAAUGUACUUUGUAAUCCCUGAUGUUUCUCUGCUGGAGAGAAAAAUUAUUUUCCACAUUUUGUGAUUUUCUUUGUUAGAAUUGAGUGUUCAUCACACACACGCAUGCACAUACACACACACAAUUUGAGAUGGUGCCAGGAAACCAACUGACCAGAAAGAUUCAUACUUGUUCAGGACUCACACCUGCUACCACCCGUGGCCCACUAGCUCUUAGGUGGGAAUUUGUCCCACUUCAUACUCAGAGGGGGUUAAAAUUGUUGCCCUGAGUUAGAACUUCUGGGCUCUAACUUCCAGAAGCUUCUGGUCACUGAGUUUCUGCCUAUGAGAUGAAGCUAGCCAGGACUGAUGAUGGGGGUUUGUACGUGUUUUCAGAUACACUCACCUCAUGGGGGUUCCUGUGAAUAUUAAAAGAAAUAACUCAAGUGGGGCAUCAAACCUAGAGCUUGGCACAUAAUAUGUGCUCAUGUAAUGUUGAGUAUUGCUAUUAUCCUUAAGGGAGAUACCCACUGCCCAGAGGGGACAUGGGUGAGACUCAGAUUGGCACUCCCACAAAGCUGACACUCCACAUGUUCUGUGUCUCUCUGUGGGCUGUACUUUGAAGGCAGGACUUCCCUCCAUGGGGCAUUCCUGGUCUUUUCAUACCUGUCUCUCUGGCUUAUUCCAUGGCAGUGGUGACUGUUGGGGGGGCAGUAGCCAGCCUGGGCUGCAGGGAGCCUUCCCAUUCUGACUAUGUCAUGGCGCAUGCCUCUCGAUGUCCCAGGAGCUGGAGAGACCCAGUUCAAGUCCCAGUCCCGCCCAUUCCAGCAGGAAGACCUUGGAAGAAUGGCUUCAUCUCCCAAGUUCCACGUCCCCAUCUUUACAUGGUGAUAACCGCGCUAGCCUUAUUGACUGAAGUAAAGGAAUGACUGGUGGCUGAAGUAAAGGAAUGACUGGUGGCACGUGCAGUGCUUGGGGGUUAUUGAGUGGCUUUACCCCACACAUGCUUGUCAUUGUCAUCAUCUGUGAUAUCUCUGCAAGGCUCCUUGUUGAGGAGAAAACAAAGGGAAGUCCUUGAGAGAAACCAAGAUCAGGAAGAAAGUCAUGGGAUUAUCUUCAGAGGGUCUUCCAUAACCCAGUCCCACCCUGAGCUCUUAGGAGUAUUUCUGCAUCUGUGUGAGCAAGCACACUAGCUUCCCUACCCUGGGGACUUGCCAUGCUGUUUUGCUCACUGUCCUGCUCACAUCUGCUCUUGGCUGCCUUAUUUAUUCCUCACUGUCCUCAUCUGCUAGGGCCAGAGGCUCCAUAAGGACAAGAUCCCUUUCGAACAGAACAUCACAUAUGUAGUCUCUGAUUUGAUCUGUGCUACGUGUGAUGACCUGUAUCACUUUGCUUAUGCAUGGUACAGCUGAAUGCUGCCAAGAGGGAAGAUGCUUUGGUUGUUGGCUCAAGCUCGCAUUCAGGGAUCCCUCCCGGUGCUUCACUAGCCUCCUGACCCAAUUAGUAGUUGUCAUCAUCAUCAUCACCACCAUCAUCAUCUGUUGAUAGGAUCUAUCAUUUAUCACUCAAACUGGGACACUUAAAUGUGAACGCGGGUGCUGUUGAUGAUUACUCCAGGACAACAGAUGCGUCCAACUGAGAUUGUCACCCUAUUUAUUGACCAAAUACUGUUUCGAAGACUCUAUGCUAAGCACUGUGCCUUCCUUGUCUUGAAUCCAUUCAAUGCUCUGUUAGGUUCUAUCUGUUCCCAUUGUAUGGAUCAGAAUACUGAGGCGUGAGAGCAGAAAGGACCUAGGCCAAGGUUGUAUCACCUGUGAGUGGCAGAACCAGGCUGUCUGCGCCCAUAGUCUGGGCCUGUGACCACAUGUUGACCUACCUUCUGCUCACUUAGUCCUGCACUCAGGCAUAUCAAAUGUGUGGGUAGCCACGUUACUCAGGCACUUGGCUAGGUAUAGGGGCUACACAGGUAAUGGAGAAUUCUGGGAUCCCUUAAUAGGCUGGAAGUCAGACAGCUCUCAGUGUCCUUUGUUUAUCUAGCUCUACAUGGACCUCCAGAGCUAAUUCACAAAUGCCGGUGUGAUGCGAGGAGUACUCUGGUCUUGGGCUGCAGGAUGUAAUUGUGGCAUGGCAGCCUUCCUGCCACCUAGGGUUCAGUCUGGGAGCUGUCCAUCUCCAGCUCAGAUCCAGGGCUGGGGAGUGGGAGGUCCUUGUCAACACUGUCAUACAGGGGAGCUGGAAAUAGUUCAGGCAUUUCUCAUUCUUGUCCAAAGCAGGGAUCAACACAGUUGACAUGGUGGCGACCCCGUGGGUGCUGCAUGUAUGUUAUUAUGGACUGACAGCGGGGGCAGCUAUCUUUGCCUGGGCCAUCACAUGGUGAAGCCGCAGCAACUCUGUGCACUUAUCAGAACAAAAGACUCCUGGCCACCCCGUGAACUACAUACCUGCUAUUCCUCUGGACAGCCUUCUCCCAGCUCCUCUCGUUUGCAGCUCCCUCUCCUCCAGUAACUAGGCAACCAGGGGAGCAUGCGUCCCAGGUUGACCACUGUAGGGGCUGUGAACUCUGCAGUGGUCAUGAACACCCCACAUUUUCUGGAAAUGCACUUACCCAAAGUGUCAAUGUAAGGGUGGACAAGCAGGAAAGAAGACACAAAGAAAUACCUAACGCAGUCACAUUUAGAAAAGGGGUGGCGUAUCAGUUUUCUUCACAUUUAUAUUUCUAAGUAACUGAAAGUCAUCCGGCAUGAUAGUUAUCACUCCAUUCCUGUCUCCCUGGCACAAGUUUCUAAUCACUCUUCUUGGGAACUUUCUAAGAAGGGUACACUAUUUUAGUCAUCCUAAAGAACUUUUGUAAUCAAAGACACAAUCCAAAAUGCCAUAUGCUUUACUAUUUUGUAUUACCAGCCAGUUGUGGGUAGUCUGGGCAAUGGUGCUGAGCUAUGGCCUGGACAGUAGAAAACUCUGCAUCAGGCAUGCAUUAUUGAUACAGAGCAUCGAAAUACACCACAUGAUUUUUACAUACGCUCCUCCUUCCUAAUUACGUGAUGAUGUUUUAUUAUGAGUUUCAUCACCAGUACUUUAGCCGACGUGUAUACAGCACUGACUCUGUGCCAGGCGCUGUCCUAAUCCCUUUGUAUUUAGUAACAUACUGAAUACUCCCAACACCUCUGUGAAGCAGGGCUUUAGUGAGAAUAACAAUAGCUGCUUUAAGGAAGAGAAACAAAAACGAAGUGGCUCUAACCAGAUGGAAUAUUAUCUCUCUCUCUCGUGACCACCUCUGUUCCAAGUUGGAAGGCAACAUGGUCAGGCUGAUGGCCCCUUUACCACUGUCUACAUGUGCCUUCUAAAGUUGCUCUGAUCCCGGCUACUCGAGCCAUCAGAGGCGGAGGACAAGAGUGUAGUGACAGACACUUGCUCUUCCAAGGCCUGACCUAGAAAUAGCACGAGUCAGUCCCACUUAUUCAGUGAGAGAUGAAGUCACAUGGCCAGGCUGCUGGGGAGGCUGGGAAACGUGGUAGAGCCCACCAGCACGUGCCACCCCACAGUUCUGCCGUUACAGAGAAGGGGGAGCAGCCAGGGACUUCUACCACGGAGAGCCACUAUCUUGACAUUUUACAGAAGAGGAAACUGAGGGACAGAGCAAUGAAACUCCUUUGAGAGCACAGAUAAUCAGUGUGGCUGGGAUUCAUACUUGGGUUGUCUGGCUUUUAGUCUAUGCUUUCAAUCAUUAUGCUGUAUUAGACUUAUAAUACAAUAUUAGUUUUAACAAUACAGAUCUUCAAAUUUGACCACUCACUAUAUUCUUCUAUCCCAAAGCAUCGAAGCCACUCAUUUGUCAGUAAGAUAUGUUGAGAUAUCUGACAUUGGAUUGGAGAACUGCGUAUCACCCAUACUCUUCAGUCCAGAGUGAGAGCCAGGACUUGGCAUUUAGAGCCCCAAGGAGCUUGUAGGGAGCAGACAGACAAGGGUCUCCUGAGAGACUGGCAGUGGGCAAGCCUUGCUCCUUGAGGGCUGGGAGGGGACCUGCUGCUCAGGGCUUGGUACAGAAUAUCACCUCCUUCUCCCUCAACUCUGACCAGCAACACUCCUUCCUGAUGCUUUAAGCGACUUGAUGGCCACAGCAGGAGCUGCUGAGAGGCAGGGAAGAACUGACAGCAGCCCAAAGCUGCACGGCUAACACAUCCUUCAGCAAGGCAGGGGUCUGGGGGCAUCUGCUCUCCUUGGCAGAAUUUUCAGAGAUUCUUUGCAUCUUAAAGAGCUCAUGGUGCUCUCAUCAACUUCAUCUCAUCAUGGUCUUGUUUUGUAUUUCUCUUUUUUACCUUCAUAUACCAUCAUUUGUAUGGGAUUAGGAGAUGGAGAAACUGGGAAGUCUGAAAAGCAAAAGAGCAAUUUACAGUUAUAAAGGCAUCUCCUACAUGCUACCUGGAGGUAGGCAGAUCUUAUCAGGCCCAUGGUCAGAAGGGGAAGAGGAGGCCAGAGGAAGUCUAGAGGCAGCCAUAGAUCACUAGGGAGUAGCAGCAGGUUUACCCUUCCCAGUUCUGGCCCCGUCACCCAAAAUACACUGCCUCAAGGUCUCUGGACUGAUGACGGUGUUCUUCUAAAUUGGUUAGUUUUUCCUACUAGGGGUUGGCAGGGCCAGCAGAGAGGAUGGCCUGGAUCAGUUUAAGCAAACAUCCUGAUCCAGUGAUUUAUAACUUUCAGGAGGUUAAGAAACCAGUAUUCCCGCUGAGUCAAGGACUUACAUAUUCACAUACACUUUUGGGAGUUCCCAGACAUGUUGAAACCCAUCCAGGGGUUCCCUAUGUAAGGACUGGGACUCCUCUCCUAAAUUUCUCCACUUGAUUUAUUUGUUAAUCAAACCUGUGAAAAUGGAUCAACUCAAAUUUUUAUCAGUAAGAGAAUAGUUGAGUAAAUCAGGGCAAAUCCAUGGGAUGGAAUACUUUGUAAUAAUUCGGAAGUAAGAGAUAGUUAUUAUAUAUAACAAUAUGGAAAAAUCUCCAAGACAGUAAAGUUUGAAAAGGAAAAUAAAAAAUUAGUUCAUUUAAUUGAAAUACAUAUAUUGAGACUCUGCUAUGUGCUGGGGCAGCAGUAAGGAGCAAAACAGAAGUCCCUCUCCUGGGAGUCUGGGCCACUGGGAAAUGGGACUGAGAGAUGCGGUGGGUGAGCCACACAGGGCCAUUUGGAUCAGUUCUGAGGAUGGCAGGGAGGGUUUUGAGCAGGGCCAUGACAUGAUGGCUUUUACUUUUUAAAAGCUCAGUCUGGCUAGUGUGAAAAGCAUUGCUUCUGGAGGUGGCUGAAGCAGGGUGAGCAGGUUAGGAGACUACUGUAAUAGUUUAGGCAUGGCACUUUGUGUCCCCACCAUGGGGGUGGGGGCAGGGUGAGAAGUGAGCAGGUUCUGGAUGGCAGUGACCCUGGGAUUUGUUGACAGUUCGGAUUAUGGAAAGAAAAGAGGAACCAAGGAUUCCCAAUCUGUGGCCAGUAAGUGGUGGGUAGACUGGGAGAGGAGCAGGUUCAGGAGGGGCAAAAUCAAGGGUUCUGCCUUGGACCAGUUUGCAGGGCGUGUCAGAGGUCCCAGUUGAGAUGUCAGGUGAGCAGGUGGUGGUCCAGCUUCAGGCUGGAGGAACAUAUUGAGAGCCAGCAUCUUCUAACUGCUAUGCAGUGCUGUAGGGCCAGGAGAGAUCAAAGAGGUAGAGAAGUGGUCCCCGAUGGAGCCAGGGACCAUCCCUCAUCCAGAGGUCACUCGUGUAAGGAGGACCCCAGCAUGCGAGGUGGAGAAGGACCAGACAGUGAGCAGUGAGGUAGGAGGAGAGCCCAAAAAGGUCGGGCCCCUAAAACCAAGGGCAGAAAGAGCUUCAAGAGGGAGGGAGUAACCAGUGAUAACAAAUUCUGCCGAUGCCACAUACGUAAGAUUAUAUACAUAUAAUCUUAUGCAUAUAUAUUCAGCACCAGACAUGUAGAUUCAUGGAGAGUUCCAGAAGAAUACAUAUUACAGGGUUAAGGAUUGGGAUUGGAGGAGGAAGUAAAGGGAACUUCUUCAUGCUCCUAUAUCAGGUGUCUGUUGGUUACUCAUGUUAUUCAAAAAGAACAAUAAAUUUAAAAUGGGGGAACUAUCUCCCAGGGAGAGGGUCUCUCCUUGCUUGGGGCCCCUGCCUUGUACUUCCCACUUCCCUUUUAUAAGGAGGGCUUACAGCUCCCAAACCGGCAUCCCUCCUCCUCCCCAACCUGGGGCUGACUCCAAAGUCCAGCCCUUUCAGCAUGUCCCCAUUCUGCAUUGCAAGGGGCCUUACUCCCCUCGCAGCCGUCUUCUAAACCAGUUCAGACAGGCAGGGAAAAGUAAUUCCACAAUCGGUUGCAGCUCUUUGUGAAGGUAUAAAGAAUAUGUGACGCUGUGACAUUUGCAACAGACUGCCACAUUGAUGGGGUUUUGUCUGUGGUGGUGGUUUUAUCAAUGGUUUUUCCUGAGCAAUUUCAGACUCUGUUUUGUGCAGAUGAUUGAAGACAUUCUGGAAAUUUCUUUCUUUUUGAAUGAUCCAUUCCACCCAGACAUCCGAACCCUUUGAGGCAAAACAAAUACAACGCACACACACUCACACUCACACACACUUUGAAUCUCUGUCAAGCUGAGCGUCUCAGAGUAAAUGAGCCAAUUUGUUUUCAUUUAAAUAUGUAAGUAGGAGAAGCAAACCUAAUGGACAUGCAUGAGAGAACGCAGAGCUGUAAGCUGGAAAAAAAUGCAGAUGAAUUUGUCACAUGUCUCGUGAUAAAUGAUAUUUGUGCAAUUAAACAGAGCCAGCCUGGUGGCCAUGAACACCUCAAUGCAUUACAUUUUUAUCUGCAGGGCCGUUACCCUCAUGUUUCCUGUCACAGAGUCUAAACAUCACAACUCCGCGGAGGAGGGGCACUUUGACUGCAAGGAUGCUGAGUUAUGCCAAGCAGUACAGAAAAGUAGGUCAGUGGGUCACCUGUGCAAGCCUGAACAGAAGGAAAGUUUGUCUGACCCUGGUGAGGCCCAGGGCUCCCAGAGCCCGGUCAGCAACUGGUGGAAACCCUGGGUCACGGGGGCAGCCAGAUAGCUGCAUCCAGGGAGCAAGAAGACCCUAGGAAAAACAGAGUCAAGCCAGUGUUGUGGAGAUGCAGGAAGAGUGAAAGAUGGGACUGAGAGAAUCCAGACAUCUAUGGCACAGAAAACAAAAGAGUGCCAUGGAUGUUUGGUGCCCAGAACAGUGGGGUGCCCAGAUUUGGAGGGCUUGCUCCUUCCUGUACAGAUCUAGACUCCAAGUGCAUUACUUGAAUCUACUUGAAGAACAAGUAGUUGAAUCAUGGUUUAAUCAUAGCCUUUCAGAGCUAUCAGGGAGCUUGGGGGUUUAUUUAGCUCAACCUCCCACCCGGAGCAGGAAUUCAUUCCCCAGAACCCCCAGCAGAGGGCCUGAAUAUCCAACUCCACCAAACUCAAGGAGUAAUGGGCGCUCAGGGGUAUGUGGGUUCCAUUGCUGUCUACCAUGCUGCAGAUUUGACAUGGGGUGCAGCCUGCAGGGUCUGCCCACCUGCAGAGUGGCUGGUGUUAAUCUGCUGGACUGAGGAGUGUCCCCUUCCUUUCUCGCAUCCUGUUCAUGAGCCUUCCCAUAAAGACAUCCCCUAUGGAAACCAGCAACAGGGGCUCAAGGCCCGCUUAGGGAUACUGAAUCUGUCCCCUACCCUCCAAAUGACCACCUGUUUGGUCCUGCUUCUGCCCUUGGAGCUACAAGAACUGGUGUCCUUCCCCCUCCUACCUGACAAACCCGGAGUCUGCCUGCCACGUGCCCCUUGGUCUUCCCAUUGCUCACCCACACUGGUGGCUUCUCCCGUACAUGGCUUCCGGCACCUUCACCAUCCUGGUGACCUUCUGGUCUGGCUCUGCCUCUUUUCAGUUCCCCAAGUGUGAGUUGUGCAUCCAGAGGACCCAGAAGCAUUUUCCUUAUCUAAUUAGCACUCCUCCAACCCUAGGAGCAUGGAUUUUUAUUUUACAAAACAAACUGGGAACAUUUAAAACUCCAGAAUGGGGUUUGGAUCAAAACAAUGUUAGCAGUUUUGACGAUUCUUUGGGACAGGUUGAGAAAGACUGGCAGAGUCCCACGAGCUAGAGAGUUGUGGCUCUGAGGAGGAGGAUAGUCUCCUGGGUGCCAAGGCCAGCAGAGGGACGCGGGAGGGCUGGAACUGCCCUGGGCCUCAGAGGCUUUUCAGGGGCAGGGAGACCUUACUUGUGUGCAGGUUGUAGCCUUGCAUCUCAGGGCUACUUUUUGAUCAGCAGCAGAGUCUCUAGACCUGGGGACUUUGGCUAAGGGGAAAAAGGGAGCUGUUCUCUCUAAACCAGGAGUUUUCCUUCACACCUGGAGAAAAUAUCUGGGUCUCAAAUCCUGGGACCUCAGGAGAAUAUACUCUUCAUGUUAGUGGCAUGGGUCAGGAUGGGACCCUGGGCUCACCUCCUGCAUGCUCCCAGCUCAGAGAAGAGAACCCCACAGUUCCUGUUCUAAGCCUGCUUGACCCCACCGUCACAUGCUGGAGUCUUCUGUGAGGACACUGGGGUCCCCCCGGCUCGGUCAGAGGCCCAUGCACGCUGGGCUUCAGCGCCCACUGUGGUUACUCAAACUCUGACCUGAGUGUUUCUUUGGCAGGUUAUCUCACAGAUUCCCCUUGAUAAGGAUCCUUUUCCUUAUGCUUGCUCUCACGGCUUCUGCCCGUUUUCUAGAUUGCACCUGGCAAACCUUAAACUGCCAUGUCCCCACAACUAUUUCACUGGCAGUUACUGCCCACACCCCGGGGGCAGGUGGAUUGUGUGGAGCCCUCAGACCCCACCAUGUUCCCUGUACACUGAUAUUAAUCAAGAAAGCAAAUAAAUGGCACAGCUUUCCACUCUGUUGUUAUUCCUUCUAAAAUAUCACUCUUGAUCACUAUGUUGAGACAAAAUUUACUAGGACUUCAAACUGGCAUUUCUAAGAGUUCCUACCUCAGAUUGUAAAUUAGGACUGAUUCUCUAUAUAGUUCUCUGUGCAGAGGAUGACGACUCAGUGUCUGGUGGAUGCUAGAAGUGAGCACACCCAGCUCUGCCAAGUUCCAGGGUCUGAGGUGGGGCUACUGGGCACAGAGAGGAUUUGUACCUUGAAGUGGUUUGGACCACAGGACAGUGAGUCCCUAGAAGACACUUUCUGUAUCACAGCACCCCACAAAGCUGACUCAGAGCAAGGAGAAAAAAGAUGCUUUGAGCUACAAGAUGCAAUCUCACUGCCACCCUGAGCUCCCCCCCCUCAGGAAGUGGGGACCAUUUCUCGAGAUAAGAAACAGUAACUGCAUAGAUAAUGUUCUCACACCAAAGGUGGCGAGCUAGAAACAAGCUGGAUGUGCCUGUGCUUGAAGGGGGUGUGGUAAUGAUAGGUCCUCAGCAGGUCUCUCUCUGGGGCCACAUCGAUACUGGGUAACCCAGGGGACAAAUAUCCUGCAGGAGAGCCCACAUAAAACACUUCUCCUUCUGCAGCUUUGCAAACAGCCAAGUGCCACGGGGAGCCAGCAACAAGGAGAUGAACACGGUGAGCGGGCAGAGCAGUCAGUGAGCUCAGGCCACAUUAUCUGUCUUACUCAAUGGUGAGCACAAAAGCUGGUGGCGGUGUAAAUAAAACCUGCUUUAGGCAGCUGUGAAUGGCACUGUGAUGACCACGAGGCAUCUGUUGGCCUCCUGAGUGCAAGCCACACUUAUCUCUUCCUGUCUGCAAUAACAUGGAUCCCACUGCCCUGUAAUCUCUCUGCAUGCGUGUUUAGCAUACCACUGGAUGGAAAGCAGCUCAAGAGGACUUAGGUCUUGUUCAUCUUUUUCCCCCAGCUAAGUAAUAAUAGCCAGCAUUUAGGCAGCACUUACUGUAUGCUAGGCUCUGUGCUAAAUAGGUCACAUACAUUAUCUUUUGUUUCUCACACCAAUUCAGGGUGGUUGAUAAUGUUUUCCUGAUUCUAAGGAAGGGGAACAGGCCUCAUAUUACCCACUGGUAAGUGAUGAAGUGAGGAUUCAUAUGAGACAGGGUGAUUUGGCAAACAGACUCCUAACCAUUGUAGCCCAUAGCAAUUUCCGUAAACCUGUGCCUCUCUCCAGGGCACCCACCACAGACCAGAAGUCAUCACUUCCAAGGUCCCAGGGCUUCAUAUCAGCACCGACUGACAGCUCAUACCAAAUCCAGUCUUUUCUGACAGCACUGGUAGAGACCCUCCACAUGAGCUGUUAGCUGCCUGGGAACAGGAACCAUUGUUUAUUCCUCUCUGUUGCCCCGAGAGAUUCCAGGCCAGUGCCUUGCAUGUAGAAAAUGCUCAAGUGUUUAAUUGAAUUCAGUGUACUCAUUUCUCAUCUAAGGUUAAUAGACGGGCCCAACAUAGGGUCCUUUGAGACUAAACAACACUGAGUAUUGAAUUUGUAACCACGAUGUGCUUCAUAAUAAGCAUAAUAAAAUAUGAACCCAAGAAAGAAACGAACUCCUAGCAGAAGCUGUAUUGCAAGUCUGAAUCAUGUCCAGUGAUUUUACAAGUACACAUGUGAAGUGGCUCUUUGCUGGUUGCUAUGAGAACCAGCACUCAGAAGCCCUGUCCAACCACAGUCUUCACAGUUGUGCAUGUCCUGUGUAUGUGUGACAGAUGCAGAGCAUGUACUGAAAGUAAACACCAGUGCUCUUGACAUGUAAGAUUGUCCUUGGAAAAGGUAAAUACCCACAACUGAAACUUUUCCAAGUAUCUGUUGAUAAAUGUCCUGACAGUCUUCCAUGCCUACUUCAUCAGAUGAUAUCAUCCAUUAUAAGGGAAUUCUCAGGGUUCACUGAGAAGCUACUAUGUGGUGGGCUCAGUGCUAAGUGUUGUGUGAGAACUAAAAAGCCAGAGCAGGGGCACCUGGGUGGCUCAGUUGAUUAAGCGUCUGCCUUCGGCUCAGGUCAUAGUCCCAGGGUCCUGGGAUUGAGCCCCACUUCGGGCUCCCUGCUCAGCAAGAGAGCCUGCUUCUCCCUCUGCCUGCCGCUCCCCCCCACUUGUGCUCUCUCUCUCUCUCUCAAAUAAAUAAAUAAAAUCUUAAAAAAAAAAAAAAAAAAAGCCAGAACAGCUAUCCUUGACACUGAGAAAAUUUUAGUCCUGUUGAGAACCCACAUCCAGGAAACAGAUCCUUUGUGUACUUUUCUCAGUUUCCCCAGUAGUAACAAUUUGUAAAACUAUAGUAUAAUAACACAACCAGGAUAUGGACACUGCUCCAAUCCACUGGUUUAUUCAUACUUCCCAAAUUUUCCUUGUAUUUGUGUGUGUGUGUGUGUGUGUAUUUGGUCCUAUACAGUUUUAUCACCUAAGUGGGUUCAUGUAUCCACAACACAGUCAAGAUGUUGAAUAGUUUCAACAUCAUAAGUGUCCCUCUUUCUCUUUCAUAAUAAUACCCGCCUCUAUCUACCCCCAAUCCCAUCCUUAAUCCUUGGCAGCCACUAGUCAUUUCAAAAAUGUUAUAUAAGUGAAAUAAUACAGCAUGUAACCUUUUGAGAUUGGCUUAUUUUCAUUCAUCAUAAAUCACCAGAGAUUCACCGAAGUUAUUGAGUGUGCUAAUAAUUCAUUCCUGUGUAUUGCUGAGUAGUAUUCUGUGGUAUGGAUGUACCAGUUCGUUUAACCAUUCACCUAUGAAAGGAUAUUGGGGUGAAUUCCAGUUUGGACUAUAACAAAUAAAGCUGCUGUGAACAGUCAUAUACAGGUUUCUGUGUAAAUGCAAGUUUUCAUUUCUCAGGCAUAAAAGAUGAAAGUAUAAUUGCUGAGUCAUAUGGAAGUUGCAUGUUUAGUUUUAUAGGAAACUGUCAAACUCUUUUCCAGAGUGGAUGUACUAUUUGACAUUACCACAAGCAAUGCAUGAGAGAUCCAGUUUUUUCCUCAUCCUUUCCUGCUUUUAGUAUUGUCACUAUUUGUUUUUAAGAUUUAUUUAUUUAUUUUAGAGAGAGAGAGAGUGAGAGAGCAUGCGCAGGGAGGUUGGGAGGGGCAGAGGGAAAGACUCUCAAUGGACUCCCAGCUGAGUGAGGAGCCCAACAGAGGGCUCGAUCUUAUGACCCUGAGAUCAUGACCCCGAGAUCAUGACCUGAUCCAAAACCAAGAGUUGGAUGCUUAACCGACUGAACCACCCAGGCGCCCCUUGUCACUAUUUUUUAUUUCAGUCAUUAUGAUACAUGUGAAGUGGUGUCUCGUUGUUUUUAAUUGGCAUUUUCCUCAUGGCUAAGGACAUUGCACAUCUUUUCAUGUGCCUAUUUACUGUCUGUAGAUCCUCUUUGGUGAAAUGUCUAUACAUGUCUUUUGCCCAGUAUGUAAUUGGAUUUUUUGGUAUUUGCUAUUGAGUUUUGUGCCUUCUUUAUAUAGCCUAGAUACUAGUCCUUUGUCAAAUAUAUGGUGUGUAAUAUUUUCUUCCAGUCUGUAGCUUGGUUUUUCAUCUUUUGAACAUGAGCUGUCACAGAGCAAAAGUAUUUAAUUUUGAUGAGGACCAACUUGUCAAUUUUUCCUUUUAUGAAUCAUGCUUUUUGUGUCCAGUCUAAGAACACUUUGCAUAGUUCUGGUUCCUGAAGACUUCUUCAUACAGUUUUUUUCUAAAAGUUUAUAAUUUUGCAUUUUACUUCCUAAAUCUGUAAUCCAUUUUGAAUUAAUUUUGUCUAAGGUGUGAGGUUUAUCUCGUGGUUCUUUUUUUUUUUGGCCUACAAAUGUCCAGUCGCUCCAACACCACUUAUUGAAAAGGCUGUCCUUCCUCUAUUGAGUGGCCUUCGCAUCUUGUCAAAAAUUAAUUGGGCAUAUUUGUGUGGGUCUGUUUCUGAGUUUGCUAUUUUCCAUUGAUCUAUGUGUUUAGCCCUAUAUCACUACCAUGCUAUUUUGACUACCGUAGUUAUACACAGGCCUUAAUAGUGGGUAGAAUGAUUCCUCCCACUUUAUUGUUCUUUGUCAGGAUUGUUUUAGCUAUUCUAGGGCCUGUGCUUUACCAUAUAAGUUUUAGAAUAAGAUUGUCUAUAUCUACAGAAAACCUUGCUUGGAUUUUCUUAGCAAUUGCUUAAACCUGUAGAUCAAUUUAGGGAAAACUGACAUCUUUACUACAUUGAGUGUUCCAAUCCAUGAACACAAUAUGGCUUGCCAUAUAUUUAGGUCUUUCUUUAUUUCUUUCAUCACAUUUUAUAAUUUCAGCAUAGAGAUCCUGUACAUGGUUUUGUUAAGUGUACCCGUAAGUAUUUCAUUUUCUUUGGAGUCAUUAUAAAUGGUAUUAUAUUUUUUAACUUUUGAUUUCCACAUGUUCAUUGUUUGUAUAUAGAAAUGCAAUUCAUUUUCUUUGUUGAUUUUGUAUCUUGUGAGCUUACUGAGCUCACUUAGUAGUCCUAAAAGGUUUUUCAUAGAUUCCUGGGGAAAGCAUUCAGUCUUUCCUUAUUAAGUAUAAGAUUAGUUGUAAUUUCUUUUUUGUAGAAAUUCUUUGUCAAGUUGAGGUUAGUUCUUUCAAUUCCUAACUUGCUGAGAUUUUUAUUAUGAAUCGUGUUGGAUUUUAUCAAAUGCUUUUUUUGUGCCAACUGAUAUGAUUAUAUGAUAUUUCUACAUUAGCUUAUUGAUGUGAAGCCUAACAUUGAAUGAUUUUUUUGAGUGUUGAAUCAGACUUGCAUACCUCAAAGAAAUCCCACUUCUUUAUGGUGUAUACUUCUUUUCAUACCUUAUUGGAUAAGGUUUGUGAAUAUUUUGUUGAGGGUUUUAACAUCUAAUUUCACAAGAGUUUUUGGUCUGUAUUUUCUUUGUACUGUUUUUUUCUGGUUUUAGUAUUAGGGUAAUAUUAGCCUUAUAAAAUGAGUUGGUACAUGUUCCUUCUUGCUCUGCUUACUGGAGGAGAUUGUAUAAAACUGGUGUUAAUUCUUUAAAUGUUUGGAAGAAUUCUGUAGUGGCCUAGAGAUUUCUUUUGUGGAAACUUUUCAGUUAUUAACUUGAUUUCUUUAAUAGUUAGAGAGUUAUUCUGAUUAUCUACUUUUGGUUGAUGUGGUAGUUUGUGGUUUUUAAAGAAUUAGUCCAUUUCUUUGAAGUUGUCAAAUACAUGAGUUUAAUGUUAUUCAUAGUAUUCCCUUAUUAUCUUUUUAAUGGAUGCAGGACUUGUAGUGAUAUACCCCAUUUCAUUUCUAAUAGUGAUGAUAUGUCUUUCAUUUUAUUUUUUCCAGUCUUGUUAGAGAUUUAUCAAUUUUAUUGAUUGUUUUUGAAAAGCUGGCUUUUGUUUUUUAUCGAUUUUCUCUAUUUUUUUCCCAUUUUAAAUUUCAUCUCUACUCUUUCCUUUCUUUUGCUUGCUUUGGGUUUAUUUUGCUCUUCUCUUUUAGUUUCUUGAGGUAGGAACUCAGAUUAUUGAUUUUAGAUCUUCCUCUUCUUUAACAUGAGCAUUUAGGGCCAUAAAUUUCUUCACAUUAUUUCUUUAGUUGCAUCCCACAAAUUUUGAUAUGCUGUAUUUUUGUUUUCAUUCAGUUCUAUGUAUUUUUUUAAAAUUUCCCUUUAGAUUCUUUUGACCCACUAAUUGUUUAUAAUUGUGUUGUUCAUUUUCCACUUACUUAAUUAUUUUUCUGUUGUUGAUUUCUUCUCUGAUUCCAUUGCGGCCAGAGACCACACUAUGAUUUCAAUUCUUUAAAAUUUGUUGAGGUUUGUUGUAUGGCCCAUAACAUAGUCUACUUGGUGAAUGUUCCAUG
RNA transcript from Mirounga angustirostris (Northern elephant seal), 16819 nucleotides. It is a transcript of the gene named phosducin like 3, with no coding region annotated. The transcript is spliced from 10 exons. The record is from RefSeq and is a predicted model, not a curated record. Lineage: Eukaryota; Metazoa; Chordata; Mammalia; Carnivora; Phocidae.